This 370-nucleotide ribosomal RNA is filed under the name uncultured organism. RNAcentral's name for it is "bacterial SSU rRNA". It matches the Rfam family "Bacterial small subunit ribosomal RNA", at positions 526 to 896 of the family's 1533-position model. The record is from RNAcentral.
CGAAGGGGGCUAGCGUUGUUCGGAAUUACUGGGCGUAAAGCGCGCGCAGGCGGUCUUCCAAGUCAGUGGUGAAAGCCUGGAGCUCAACUCCAGAACUGCCAUUGAAACUGUUAGACUUGAGUACGAGAGAGGUGAGUGGAAUUCCCAGUGUAGAGGUGAAAUUCGUAGAUAUUGGGAAGAACACCAGUGGCGAAGGCGGCUCACUGGCUCGUAACUGACGCUCAGGCGCGACAGCGUGGGGAUCAAACAGGAUUAGAUACCCUGGUAGUCCACGCCGUAAACGAUGAAUGCUAGCCGUUGGAUAGCUUGCUAUUCAGUGGCGCAGCUAACGCAUUAAGCAUUCCGCCUGGGGAGUACGGCCGCAAGGUUG